This 121-nucleotide small RNA is filed under the name Klebsiella pneumoniae. Its description in RNAcentral is "RtT sRNA". It matches the Rfam family "RtT RNA". Rfam says of the family: This family represents a bacterial cis-regulatory element known as RtT RNA. The exact function of RtT is unknown although it is thought that it may be involved in changing the cellular response in relation to amino acid starvation. Lineage: Bacteria; Pseudomonadati; Pseudomonadota; Gammaproteobacteria; Enterobacterales; Enterobacteriaceae. The record is from RNAcentral. RNAcentral also lists the same sequence under 2 other names.
ACGGGGAAGGAUGAGAAGCUUCGACUAAGGUUCGACUCGAGCGAAGCGAGAGAACGUUGCCGCAGGCAACGGCCCGAAGGGCGAGGCGCUUUAGCGCCGAGUAAUCCUUCCCCCACCACCA